GAUUAACGGAUCUGAUUGU
Molecule: small nuclear RNA, 19 nt
Filed under: Arabidopsis thaliana (thale cress)
Lineage: Eukaryota; Viridiplantae; Streptophyta; Magnoliopsida; Brassicales; Brassicaceae
Description: snRNA_10667
Source: RNAcentral